Molecule: long non-coding RNA, 615 nt
Filed under: Homo sapiens (human)
Lineage: Eukaryota; Metazoa; Chordata; Mammalia; Primates; Hominidae
Description: long non-coding RNA NONHSAT183399.1
Source: RNAcentral
GGGGCCGAGCUGGCUGCGCCCUCCGCUGCAAGCGCCGGCAGCGCGGGGCGAGCUCCGGACGGCGCGCGGCCCAGGCAGCGGCUCCCGCUCGGCCCGCCCUCCGAGCCGCAGGGGCCGCCACCGCCGCGGCGCCUCCCCUGGCGACCGCGCCCCCGGGCCCCGGCUCCGGCCCGGGACGGAGGAGCCGGCGCUCGACACAGAGAGCUCUUCAGAAACCAGGCUGCUUUCAGGAACAUUGCUGUGGAUUCCCAGCUUUCAGACAACACAUGACUAAGACAGAAUGAGACCACUCUAGUUGCCUCAUGGGAAACUCGGGAAAAGACUGCAAAAACAACAUUGUUUCUCCCUUUGGAAUUCUGGAGUUAUAAGGCAGAGGUCCCCCAUCUUCCCGAACUGGCCUAUUCCACUAGAAGCAAGAUGGCUGAACUCAAUACUCAUGUGAAUGUCAAGGAAAAGAUCUAUGCAGUUAGAUCAGUUGUUCCCAACAAAAGCAAUAAUGAAAUAGUCCUGGUGCUCCAACAGUUUGAUUUUAAUGUGGAUAAAGCCGUGCAAGCCUUUGUGGAUGGCAGUGCAAUUCAAGUUCUAAAAGAAUGGAAUAUGACAGGAAAAAAGAAG